UGAAAACUUAAAAUUUAAAGGACUUGACGGUACUUCACACCGACCUAGAGGAGCCUGUCUACUAACCGAUAAUCCACGACAACCCAACCCGCCCUGGCCCAACAGUCUAUAUACCGCCGUCGCCAGCCUGCCUUAUGAAAGAAACAGAGCGGACUCAAUAGUAAUCGCACUAACACGACAGGUCGAGGUGUAACUAAUGGGUGGGAACAAGAUGGGCUACAUUUUCUGGCCCAGAAAACACGAAUAAAUUAUGAAACUAAAAACUGAAGGCGGAUUUAGCAGUAAAUUAAGAACAAGAUACUUAACUGAAGCAAACGCAAUGAAGUGUGU
RNAcentral lists this ribosomal RNA (330 nucleotides) under Psammodynastes sp. NNV-2008. RNAcentral's name for it is "partial 12S ribosomal RNA". Lineage: Eukaryota; Metazoa; Chordata; Lepidosauria; Squamata; Psammodynastidae. The record is from RNAcentral.